Molecule: ribosomal RNA, 1163 nt
Filed under: Bacillus safensis
Lineage: Bacteria; Bacillati; Bacillota; Bacilli; Caryophanales; Bacillaceae
Description: bacterial SSU rRNA
Rfam family: Bacterial small subunit ribosomal RNA
Source: RNAcentral
GGGGAAGCUGGGCGGCGUGCUAUACAUGCAGUCGAGCGGACAGAAGGGAGCUUGCUCCCGGAUGUUAGCGGCGGACGGGUGAGUAACACGUGGGUAACCUGCCUGUAAGACUGGGAUAACUCCGGGAAACCGGAGCUAAUACCGGAUAGUUCCUUGAACCGCAUGGUUCAAGGAUGAAAGACGGUUUCGGCUGUCACUUACAGAUGGACCCGCGGCGCAUUAGCUAGUUGGUGGGGUAAUGGCUCACCAAGGCGACGAUGCGUAGCCGACCUGAGAGGGUGAUCGGCCACACUGGGACUGAGACACGGCCCAGACUCCUACGGGAGGCAGCAGUAGGGAAUCUUCCGCAAUGGACGAAAGUCUGACGGAGCAACGCCGCGUGAGUGAUGAAGGUUUUCGGAUCGUAAAGCUCUGUUGUUAGGGAAGAACAAGUGCGAGAGUAACUGCUCGCACCUUGACGGUACCUAACCAGAAAGCCACGGCUAACUACGUGCCAGCAGCCGCGGUAAUACGUAGGUGGCAAGCGUUGUCCGGAAUUAUUGGGCGUAAAGGGCUCGCAGGCGGUUUCUUAAGUCUGAUGUGAAAGCCCCCGGCUCAACCGGGGAGGGUCAUUGGAAACUGGGAAACUUGAGUGCAGAAGAGGAGAGUGGAAUUCCACGUGUAGCGGUGAAAUGCGUAGAGAUGUGGAGGAACACCAGUGGCGAAGGCGACUCUCUGGUCUGUAACUGACGCUGAGGAGCGAAAGCGUGGGGAGCGAACAGGAUUAGAUACCCUGGUAGUCCACGCCGUAAACGAUGAGUGCUAAGUGUUAGGGGGUUUCCGCCCCUUAGUGCUGCAGCUAACGCAUUAAGCACUCCGCCUGGGGAGUACGGUCGCAAGACUGAAACUCAAAGGAAUUGACGGGGGCCCGCACAAGCGGUGGAGCAUGUGGUUUAAUUCGAAGCAACGCGAAGAACCUUACCAGGUCUUGACAUCCUCUGACAACCCUAGAGAUAGGGCUUUCCCUUCGGGGACAGAGUGACAGGUGGUGCAUGUUGUCGUCAGCUCGUGUCGUGAGAUGUUGGGUUAAGUCCCGCACGAGCGCCACCCUGAUCUAGUGCAGCAUUCAGGUGGGCACUUCUAGGUGACUGCCGGGGACAACCGAAGAAGGUGGGGAUGACGUU